Molecule: ribosomal RNA, 271 nt
Filed under: uncultured bacterium
Lineage: Bacteria
Description: partial 16S ribosomal RNA
Rfam family: Bacterial small subunit ribosomal RNA
Source: RNAcentral
UACGAAGGGUGCAAGCGUUAAUCGGAAUUACUGGGCGUAAAGCGCGCGUAGGCGGCUUUUCAAGUCGAUUGUGAAAUCCCCGGGCUUAACCUGGGAACUGCAGUCGAGACUGUCUAGCUAGAGUAUGGGAGAGGGAAGUGGAAUUUCAGGUGUAGCGGUGAAAUGCGUAGAUAUCUGAAGGAACAUCAGUGGCGAAAGCGACUUCCUGGACCAAUACUGACGCUCAUGUGCGAAAGCGUGGGGAGCAAACAGGAUUAGAAACCCUGGUAGU